GCUCCAAAUCCGGAAUUGUGGUUACCAUUUUUGACUCUAAUUUUUGAAUCAUCACUUUACUUCCUGCUUGUUUUGAAAACAACUUGAGAUACACUUUACAUGUUAUUUCCUUACUGUCUCGUAACGUGGUAAGCUUUUUAUAUCUAUAAUAUUGUCAUAUAUAUUUUAUUCUACCCCCGUAAAUGAUUUUUAUUUGAUAUUCCUAUUGUAAAGUUAAAUUUUGAGAUGUAAGUUGUUUAUGAAACUCCCGGCAAAUUGUAAAUCUAUGGAACGCCAUUCGUGACAUUUAUGUAUUCGUCACUACUUAUAGUAUGUAUGGCACGCCAUUUGGGACACCUUUGAUUAAUAUUUCAUUUUUGUCAUUUUUAUUGUAUUUUUGAGUAGAGAAACAUUUUAUGAAUGCUUUUAUGAUGUUUUGAUCAGAUUGUAAAGGUUGUUUAUUUUUUCUUUUCAGUUUUUACCUUAUACUAGAAUGAUGCACUACGCACCCAUUUGAUGUCUUGUCGGUGCCUUAUAUGAAUAAAGUUGUGCAAAUAAAAUUCUUGUUGGUUAUCUGGUUGUUUAUCCUAGAAACAGCACAGUAAAAACACGAGAUAAUGGAUUCACAACAUGGACAUGGUGAUAACCCAGAUUCAAGAACACGUGUUCUUACAGAUAGUGGACUGGAGCUUUAUAAUGCUAACAUUAGAACUCACUUAAAGAAGAUAGAACUUGUUCAAACAGAAAUAGAACUUUGCCUUGAAAGAUUUUCGACAACAAAUUCAGAAGACUAUGAGACAGUGUUAAAAAUUCAAAAAACUUUAAAUUUGUGUCAUUGUAAAUACAGUCUCUAUUCAGAGGAGUACUUGAAAUAUUUAAGGAACACACGUACAGAGGACAGUCUCAGGAUAGCUGAAGAACACAAAAAAGAAGAUUUAAAGUACAAAGACAUUAUUGAACGUGCACUUCAGCAAACGAAGGUUUCAGACAGACACGAAACUUCUUCUCAGUUCACGCAUAGAUCUGGAGCACAUUCCAGAGCUUCUUCCAACUCGAGCUCUGUUGCCCUUAGAAAACGUGCAAAAGCAGAAGCAGCUCAAGUCAAAUUGGAAUUUGCCUUGAAAGAAGCUGAAAUGCAAAAACAGAAGGCAUAUAUAGAACAACAAGAAAAAAUAUUGAAGGCUAAAUCAAAUACUAAAAAGGCAGAAUUAGCAGCUGAAAUAGAACUGCUCAACUAUAAGAAGGAAGCGGCGGCCGCUACUGCAGAGGCUGAUGCACUUGAAGAAUAUGACCAAAAUGUGAAUGGUAGUAAAAAGUCUGAACUUCUUCUAUCAAAAACUGUUUUUGAAAGAACUAAUCAAUAUGUAGAACAGCAGGUACUUCAAGUAAAAGAUGUAAAAUUAACCCCAGAUGUUAAUAUUGUACCACGUGAUCCGUUCACAAAUCCGAUAUCAGGUGAUGCAGUCAAUCGACAUUCACAUAUGCCAACACCAAAACCGUCACAGCCAAAAUAUGAUGUGCCGAGUGUAAGCAUGUUAAGUGCAGGUUGUAAUGAUAACGAUAUAAAUACACAAGUUCAAGAACAUGCAUUGAAUCCAAAUGCACCUAAAUUUCAACCUGACAUGAGCACACAUCAGAACGCACCUCAAUCUCAUCCUGAUAUAAGCAUGUAUCAGAACGCACCUCAGUUUCAUCCUGAUAUAAGCACACAUCAGAAUAUUGCUACAGAUUUCACACGAUUUCUUCUAAAGAAAGAUUUGCUGUUAUCAAGAUUAACUACGUACAGUGAUAAACCUGAAAUGUAUGCGGUAUGGAAGGCUAGUUUCAAAAACAUAUUAAGUGAACUUUCCGUUACAGCGAUGGAAGAGUUGGAUCUUAUGGUGAAAUGGUUAGGUCCUGAAUCUACACGGCAUGCAAACAGUAUUAGAGCAUCAAAUAUUCAUGAUCCAACGAAAGGAUUACAACGUUUAUGGGAACGCUUAGAUGAACGUUACGGUUCUCCAGAGUCAGUUGAAGCCUCAUUAAUUGCCAAAUUAAACAAUUUUCCGAAAUUAACACAGAAAGACAACAAAGAACUGUACGAGUUAGUAGACAUUCUUUCUGAAAUUGAAUCCAUUAAGGAAGAUUCCAAGUAUUAUUCACUUUUAGUGUAUUUUGACUCCUCGUCAGGAGUUCUCCCUAUAUUGAAUAAACUUCCAUACAACAUUCAAGAAAAAUGGACAAAUAAAGCAUCUCAAUACAAAAGAGAAAAACAAGUAACCUUUCCACCAUUUACAUUUUUUGUGAAGUUUAUUCGUGAAUUAAGCCAAAUAAGAAACGACCCUAGUUUUGCGUAUGACCAGACAAAUCAAUCUAAAAACUUAAACACAACUGCCAAAUCACCAGCAUACAUGUAUAAGACAGCUAUUUCAGUUCACAAAACCGAGGUUUCUAGUAGUGACCUUGACUUACAAAAACAAUGUCUUUUGCAUAAUACAGGACACUCAUUAAACGAGUGUAGAGGAUUCAAAGCAAAACCUUUCCAAAUACGUAUGAAGUUUAUCAAUGAUAAUAGAAUUUGUUACGGUUGUUGUGAAUCGACAAAACAUGUAAAACGAACAUGUACUAACGCAAUUAGUUGUAAUGAAUGUGGCAGUGACCGCCACCCUGGAGCAUUACAUAUUAAUCACUCUAACACGUCUAACGACUCUAUAGAUCAGAAUAAUAAUGAAUCAAGUUUGCCUGUUCACGGCGGGGAGGAAGAAGUAGAAACUAAGUGCACAGAAAUUUGUGGGACAUCAUUUCAUAGUAGAUCAUGCGCAAAAAUAUUGCCAGUGAGAGUUUUUAGACAUGGACAAUAUGAGAACUUGAAACUGUACGUUAUAUUAGACGACCAGAGUAAUCACUCAUUGGCAUCACCAUUAUUUUUUGACACUUUUGGAGUGCAUGGUACAUCAGAAGAAUAUGUAUUAUCUUCCUGCUCAGGUCGAGUGAAAAUGUCAGGACGUAGGGCAAGUGGAUUUGUAGUUGAAUCAUUAGAUGGACAAGUUCAGUUGGAAUUGCCCACAGUAAUAGAAUGUGGUAAUCUUCCGCAUAAUAGAGAGGAAAUACCCACACCAGAUAUUGCUAUCAAACAUGACUAUUUGAAAAAGAUGGCAGAUCACUUGUCUCCACUGGACCCAGAUUGUGAAAUUAUGCUUCUCAUUGGAAGGGACAUGACAGAAGCACAUCAUGUUUUAGAACAAAUUAUUGGACCUCGUAAUGCUCCGUUCGCACAAAAACUGCCUCUAGGCUGGGUAGUUAUAGGAAACAUGUGCUUAGACAGAAUAAAUACUCCUGAUGAUGUUAAUGCAUAUCUGACACAUAUUGCACCAGAUUGUCAAGCUUCGAUCCUUCAACCAUGUGCUUACAAUCAUGACGAUCAUGAGUCUUUUGGCUGCUGUAUUGAUAACUUUGGAGUCUCUCAAACGAAAGACAAUACACAUAAAAGUGCAAUUUUCGAACGCACUGUACAAGACAACAAAUCUAUAUUAUCUAUAGAAGGUAGACAAUUUUCGACAUUAAAGAAAACUGAUCUUCAGAAGGACAAAGAGGGUAACUGGUGUUCACCUUUAUCUUCCCGCACUCCAAGAAGACGUAUCCCAAACAACAGAGCAAUGGUUUUGCAUCGUGCUGAGUCAUUUGAGAAAAGUUUUCAGAAAGAUCCAUUAAAACAAGAACACAUAGUUACAUUCAUGCAGAAAGAGUUUCACUAUCGACAAGAAUGGGAAACACGCCAAAAUUCUUUGACACCACUUGAAAAUGUGAAGAUCCGUAGACUGUUUGUCGGUACGUCAAUUUCAAUUCGAGAUGCUUCAAAAGCUGAAUUACAUAAAUUUUUCGAUGUAUCUGAGCAAGCAAUUGCAGCAUUGGCCACUUUAAUCGGUUCUGAUGGUAUUUUCCGUAAAGUCUGUGUGCGUGUUAUCCGGGAAGGAAAACCAGUUGUUUAUACACGUCCAGUGACAGAACUUGUACUUUUAUUCUCAGAAUAGUGAUAUUAUUAUGAACAUUAAAUAUGAUUGAUAUUUGUGACAUUAGUAAAUAGUUUGACACCUUUUUGUCAAUAAAGUUUAGUAUUGAUAUUUGGUACUUGAAGUCAGAGACACUAGGUACAUUUUCAUAUUGUCUGAUAAUGUAAGAUUGAUAUUUUGUUUUUUCAAUUUUUAUGAGGUAGUGAUAUUGUAAUAUAUCAGGCGGGGAGUGUUCUGGCUCCAAAUCCGGAAUUGUGGUUACCAUUUUUGACUCUAAUUUUUGAAUCAUCACUUUACUUCCUGCUUGUUUUGAAAACAACUUGAGAUACACUUUACAUGUUAUUUCCUUACUGUCUCGUAACGUGUUUUUACCUUAUACUAGAAUGAUGCACUACGCACCCAUUUGAUGUCUUGUCGGUGCCUUAUAUGAAUAAAGUUGUGCAAAUAAAA
This is an RNA transcript of Mytilus trossulus (common blue mussel), 4418 nucleotides long. RefSeq lists it as uncharacterized. Lineage: Eukaryota; Metazoa; Mollusca; Bivalvia; Mytilida; Mytilidae. The transcript has 2 exons. The record is from RefSeq and is a predicted model, not a curated record.